GUUUACUUCUUCAGAUUUUGAACCCCUUAUUAAAAAUCCUAGCUCCAUCAUUGCUUGUGUCACGUUUAAAUAGGUACGAACAUAUGAUGUCAUCCUUCUAUUUGCUUGAGCAUAAAUUCUUUCUUCUAUUAUGUUUUUUUUUUUGUUUUGUUUCAUAUAUAUUUGAAUUUGAUGAUGUAUAAUUAUAUCAAGUUGCUUCUUUUUUUAUACACAGUUGUGGCUUGAUAUUUGGUGACUGCAACAUGAACUUCUUCAUCGAACAAUGUUUGAUUAUAAAGAUUUAUAUGUUAAGCUAUACAUCAGAGCAACGAAAUCUUAGUAGGUUAGUUGGUGGCCCUGAACUUUUAUCUUAUUUUGAUUCCCCAUUAUAAUUAACCACCUCCUUUAUUUUCCGUUUCCUUAUCGCCAAUUAAUAAAAAAUGAUAAGUCAUAUAUACUCCCUCCAUUCUACUUUGGUUACCUUAUUUACAAUUUCUUCUGUGUCAAUCAGUAUGAUAUAUUUUGCAUUUCGAAACUCAAACGAUUAUAUUUUCAUAUGGCUUAUGAAUAUGAAGUGCUGGUGAUUGUAAUUUAUAAAUUUUUUUACAUAAUUUUCAAAUAUGUAGAUUUUAUUUUAAGACAUUUUAAUAUUACGUACUAUCAAAAUUAAGAAUUUUUCUUCUUUAAUGUUUUUUCUGAAAAUAUUUUUCAAAUGUAUAUAUUAAUUUUAUUUCCAAUAAUUUGAAGAAUCUAUGUCCAAAAAUUAAAUGUAAUUUGACCCUCGUACUGGGAACCACACCAAACAAUGUGGAAUGGUAGGAGUAACUAAUAAAGAACAUACCAUGUGAUUUAAGUUUUUUUGUUGGUUAUCCUUCCAGUGCUCAGAUUAAUGUGGAUUCACGUCGAAAAAUUUCAAUUUUUUUUGAUACUUUUGCAUGUUGAGGUUGAUCAGAUGUGUGACCACAAAGUUUAUUGUUAUGAUGCAGGUAGAUUGUUGAAAGAAUUAGCUAUCACGGAGUACAUGCAGAAGCAAAAUAUUAGAACAAAAGUAUAUAAAGUUUUUGGAAGAGCUCGCAACUCAUUUGCUAUCCUUACCAUUUCAUCGCAACAAUAAAAGAGUUGCGAUGUUUAAUUACUCUCUUCAUCUCAAUUUAUGUGACAUCAUUUGACCGGAUACGAAGUUUAAAAAUAAGGGAAGACUUGGUUAUGCUACCCAAUUGUCCUUACUAAAGUUGCCUUAAUGCUUACUUUUAGUUGAGUUUUCUUCUCAAUAAAGUCUGAAUGACAGCAAAAUAGUAAUCAAAAGUGCAUACAUGUCUGUGAAUCCUACAAUAUAUAUUUCACCAC
This 1326-nucleotide long non-coding RNA is filed under the name Solanum tuberosum (potato). RNAcentral's name for it is "long non-coding RNA (STUB_LNC011590)". The record is from RNAcentral. Lineage: Eukaryota; Viridiplantae; Streptophyta; Magnoliopsida; Solanales; Solanaceae.